RNAcentral lists this ribosomal RNA (674 nucleotides) under uncultured bacterium. RNAcentral describes it as "bacterial SSU rRNA". It matches the Rfam family "Bacterial small subunit ribosomal RNA", at positions 68 to 774 of the family's 1533-position model. The record is from RNAcentral.
UUGAUUGAGUGUUUGCACUUAAUCAUGAGAGUGGCGCACGGGUGAGUAAUACGUGGGAACAUACCCUAAAGUGGGGGAUAACGCUUGGAAACGAGUGCUAAUACCGCAUAAACCAUGAGUGGGAAAGAUUUAUCGCUUUAGGAAUGGCCCGCGGCAGAUUAGGUAGUUGGUGGGGUAAAGGCCUACCAAGCCGACGAUCUGUAGCUGGUCUGAGAGGACGAUCAGCCACAUUGGGACUGAGACACGGCCCAGACUCCUACGGGAGGCAGCAGUGAGGAAUAUCGGGCAAUGGGGGCAACCCUGACCCAGCCAUGCCGCGUGAGUGAAGAAGGUUUUCGAAUUGUAAAGCUCUUUCGGAUGUGAAGAUGAUGACGGUAGCAUCUAAAGAAGCCCCGGCAAACUUCGUGCCAGCAGCCGCGGUAAUACGAAGGGGGCGAGCGUUGUUCGGAAUUACUGGGCGUAAAGGGUGUGUAGGUUGACGUGUAAGAUAGCGGUGAAAUCCCAGAGCUCAACUUUGGAAUUGCCAUUAUAACUAUGCGUCUAGAAUUAUAGAGAGGAUAGCGGAAUACCCAGUGUAGAGGUGAAAUUCGUAGAUAUUGGGUAGAACACCGGUGGCGAAGGCGGCUAUCUGGCUAUAUAUUGACACUGAGGCACGAAAGCAUGGGGAUCAAACA